RNAcentral lists this ribosomal RNA (481 nucleotides) under uncultured bacterium. Its description in RNAcentral is "partial 16S ribosomal RNA". It matches the Rfam family "Bacterial small subunit ribosomal RNA", at positions 28 to 507 of the family's 1533-position model. The record is from RNAcentral.
GAUGAACGCUGGCGGCGUGCUUAACACAUGCAAGUCGAACGAAGCACUUUAUUUUAUUUUCUUCGGGUCUGAUUAUUUUGUGACUGAGUGGCGGACGGGUGAGUAACGCGUGGGUAACCUGCCUUUUACAGGGGGUUAACAGUUGGACACAGCUGCUAAUGCCGCAUAAGCUCACCGCAUAACAUGCUGCUGUGUGAAAACCUCCUGUGGUGUAGGAUGGUUCCGUGUUGGAUUAGCUAGUGGGUGAGGUAACGGCCCACCAAGGCGACGAGCCAUAGCCGAACUGAGAGGGUGACCGGCCACAUUGGGAGUGAGACACGGCCCAAACUCCUACGGGAGGAAGGAGUGGGGAAUAAUGAACAAUGGGCGAAAGCCUGAGGCAGCGACGCCGCGUGAGCGAAGAAGUAGUGCGGUAUGUAAAGCUGUAUCAGCAGGGAAGAUAAUGACGGUACCUGACUAAGAAGCACCGGCUAAAUACGUG